UACGUAGGGUGCAAGCGUUAAUCGGAAUUACUGGGCGUAAAGCGUGCGCAGGCGGUGAUGUAAGACAGAUGUGAAAUCCCCGGGCUCAACCUGGGAACUGCAUUGGAUACUGCCUUGCUUGAGUACUGGAGAGGGAACUGGAAUUUACGGUGUAGCAGUGAAAUGCGUAGAGAUCGUAAGGAAGGCCAGUGGCGAAGGCGAGUUCCUGGACAGUUACUGACGCUGAGGCACGAAGGCCAGGGGAGCAAACGGG
Molecule: ribosomal RNA, 253 nt
Filed under: uncultured bacterium
Lineage: Bacteria
Description: partial 16S ribosomal RNA
Rfam family: Bacterial small subunit ribosomal RNA
Source: RNAcentral